This 230-nucleotide ribosomal RNA is filed under the name uncultured Bacteroides sp. RNAcentral describes it as "partial 16S ribosomal RNA". It matches the Rfam family "Bacterial small subunit ribosomal RNA", at positions 383 to 607 of the family's 1533-position model. Lineage: Bacteria; Pseudomonadati; Bacteroidota; Bacteroidia; Bacteroidales; Bacteroidaceae. The record is from RNAcentral.
CUGAACCAGCCAAGUAGCGUGAAAGGAUGACUGGCCCUACGGGUUGUAAACUUCUUUUGUGCGGGAAUAAAGGAGCCUACGUGUAGGCUUUUGCAUGUACCGUAACGAAUAAGUAUCGGCUAACUCCGUGCCAGCAGCCGCGGUAAUACGGAGGAUGCGAGCGUUAUCCGGAUUUAUUGGGUUUAAAGGGAGCGCAGACGGGAGAUUAAGUCAGUUGUGAAAGUUUGCGG